AUUUCCAUCAUACAAAUGAGGAAACUAUGGCUCAGAGAAGUUAAGUAACUUGUACAACAUCGCAGAGCUGGAAAGUGGUCAAACGAGGUGAAGAAUCCAAGCCUGUCUGACCUCAGAGCACUUGCUCUUAACCUUCACUCUAUGCUGACCUCCCAUGUGGCCCUUGAGAUAGCAGGACAGGUGUCACAGAGAUGAUCCGGGGGGACCCAGGGUGAGCAUUAUGACACACGGAUAACAUCCAUGGUCAGCUUUGACAAACAAACUGAUGGCAGCAGUGGCCCCAAUGUCAUAUGCAAGAGGACAGCCAAGAGGAUCACUGAGGAGCAGUCGCCUGUAUUUUUUGAAAAUCACUACAGUGUCACCAUUCAGAGGGGGACUGCCUAACAGAUGGAGCCGCCCCAGGCCAGGCCGUAAGAGGAGCCACAGGAGGGGCAGGAGCUCUUCCCUGGGGUCAGAGAGUUGGUUCUCAUUCAAAGCCCGGCUCUGCUGUGACCUGCCCGGGGGGCCUUGGACAAGGUCCUUAACUUUCCAGUCUUCAAAUUCUUCAAGAUAAAAUGCGGGGGGCGGAGGGCGGGGGGCGUUGAAAAAUCCACUGCAAAGAUUGCUGGAAAGAUGACAUUAACCGGGCGGGUGCAUGAGCCGAGGCGGAGCAGGACUCCAACAGCACCCUCGACUUGGGAAAUUUGAGGAAUGGGGACCCUGCACAGGUGAGGAAGGAUGGAGUGAAGCCAUAACAGCGCAGUGUCCCCGAUUAGUACCAGCCCGGGGCCCUUACCACCCCUGGACUGAGGGAGGGUGUGGCUCCCAGAACCCCGAAAUAAAGUGUGGACAGCAGAAUAAUGGCCCCCCACAUCCUAGUCUCCAGAACCUGUGAGUGUGUAAAAAAAAGGGGGCUUUGCAAAUGCAAUGCUGAGGUGGGGAGAUUAUCCUGGAUGAUCUGGGGGGCCCAGUGCAAUCACAAGGUCGUUACAAGAGGGGGGCAGGAGGAUUGAGAAGGCGAGGUGAGCUGGGAAGCAGGGCUUGGGUGCUGCGCAGCCGGGGGUCGAGGAACGCGGGCGGCCUGUGGGAUCUGGGAGAGGCGAGGAGUGGACUCUCCUCCGGAGCCCCCAGAAGGAGCGCAGUCCUGCCGACCCUCGAUUUUAGUCUCAUAAGACUCAUUUCGGGCUUCUGACCUCCAGAACUGUAAGACAGUAAAUUUGUGUUGUUUUAAGGCACAAAUUUGUGUUGAUUUCUUGCAGCAGCCACAGGAAACUAGCACAGUGAGAGCUGGGUCUGAGGGCUGCCGUGACGGGAGGCGUGACCUUCACUCAGUCAGGCAGAAGACGCCCCAGAAAGAAAGCUGAGGGGUCAAAACCCCAGCCUCGCUCUCCUCCAGCCCCCGAUCUCCUGUGGGGGCUGCCACUGGAGGAACCAACCGGAAGCAGAAGGGGCCACUGAUGAGUCCAUACAGAUCAGCAUCUGGGGCGGGGCGCAGGGAGGGAGGGUGGAGGGUAGAUCUGAGGAGACGAGCGGGAGAACCCAGCGCAGCGGGGCGACUGGGAGAGACUCUGUGUUGGCUCACUCUUUCUUCAGCCAGGGCCACGUGUGAGCCCUGACGAGGAGCAGGACGUCUGCCCUGCAGCUGGGAACGGAGCCUCACGCCCACCCUCAGAACAGAAUCCCGGGAAGACAGACCCGGAUCUGGGGCACAGAGGGUGGAAAUCCUUCCAGAGCUUCCUGGGAGGGGGGGGUCCUUCAAGGGUCUCAAACCCACCCUCGGGGCCAGUCUGCAGAGGUGAUCAACCCAGAGGCCACCACCCUUCGUCCUGUCUCAAGCACCAAUCCCAACCCCGCCCUCCCCUCCCUCAUGCCACACCCUUCAAGGAUGAGAUGCUCCUGGACCAGAGAAAAGGGUCCCAGGCAUCGGCAGGGUUGGCUGUCCCUCCUAGCUCGGCUCUGACCCAUUGAUACUGCCCGGUGUCAGAUGUGGGCCUCCUCAGGCCCCGCCCUCAGAAACUAACGCUCACAGGCCAAACUAGCUGAGACGCCUGGCGCUAGUCAAUACGGCAACUGUGCGAAUUAGAGAGAAAGUACCCCUUUCUCCAGGCACUUUCCUGCCACCUACUGGAAACUUGUAGCAACUACACAUAUCUAAUGACCACGAGGUAAACAGGCACCCCCGGGGAAUUGUGCAAUGCACAACAGGCACCACUGCAAGUGGCAGCCUGGCAGCCUUCAUAAAGCUGUCAUCACACGUGCAAUGGUGGUGACAGCAGGUGGCCUUUUUUUGGUUUGUUGUCUGUCUCUCCAGCCCUCACCAAAACUGUCAUCAAUGCCUCCCAGCAAAGGCCACCAGGAGCACACCUCUAGUUGAACACACUGGGCAUGUGACCUGCAGCAAGAGAAGACAGAAGGGAACAUGUGGCUGGAUCACGUUUCUAUGAAGCUCAAGAAUGAGUGAAACUAAUUCGCAGUGUCCAGGGCCAGAACGGGCCGGGGGUGUGUAGUCAUUCUAGGCCAGCGCUGUCAAAAUAGCAUGCAUGGGGCACGGCCGGUCUGAACUGAGACGGGCCGUAAGGUCAAAGACCCUGCCUGAGAAACAGAAAGUGUCUCAAUAAUGAGAAAAUGAUAAUAUUUUUGACAUACUUGGUUAAAAAUUAAUGCCACCUAUUUCUUUUUCCCUUUUUGGACGUGGCUCUCCACCCUUCCUGCCCGGCGCUUCUGGGAAGCCGGGAUAAGCUCACGGUCAUUCUGCACGAGACCGUGGUGAUGGGACGCCCGUCUGCCGACUGAUCCACCCAGCUCUUCCUGGGGGGAGGAUAUAGUUAGGACGUCCGAUAGUUGGAGCGGGUUUGAUUUAAGAUUAGGAUAUGUGGGUGUCACCCACGGGGAAUCAGAGCUUUAAAAUCUCCUCUUCUUUCUCCUUCUUCUCCCCCUUCCUUUCCCUCUUCCUUCCUCCUCUCUCUCCCUCUCUUGCUCUCCUCUCUGCACAUCUACUUCAUUUCCCCCUCACUUACCAGCUGACUCCCCUAUUUCUCAGGCCACGAGGGGGGACAUUUGGUGGCUCACUGCUCCCCCAUUUCGCUGCUUACGUGUCACCACCUGGAGAGAGAUCGCUCUGUCUCUGUCUCCGGGUGUCGCUCUCCUAACUCCUCAAGAAGGAGCCGGCAGGCCUGACUGUGGCCAUGUUCUGCCCCAUGCUGACUAGCUAUGCCAGAGCGUGGAUCUCCUUCCUUGCUUCCUAAGGCGGCUGGGGAGGUGACAACAACGGCAGCCCCAGCUGGGAGCCGGGGUGGCCAGCCUGUCAGCGAGGAGGCAUGCAAACCUCUUAAGAAAUGCAAGAGAAGCACAGAAUGUGGGUGGACGUUUGAAAAGGGGGGAAUCCUAGAAUGCCACCCAAGGAUGAAGAAAAAAUUGGUGAGGCAGAAGGAAAACGUUGUGAGGAAAACAGAGCUGCAAACUGCGAGCAGGCUGGUUAACCACCAGCUAGAAGUCAAGGAAUUUCAUCCCAGCCCUGGUUCUGUCGGUGACUCAUUGUUGUGACCUUGGAUAUGUCCCUUCUCAUCUCUGAGCCUCAGUUUCUCCAUCUGCAAAAUACGGUGUUGGACUAGACAAUUUCUGAGCGUCCUCGCACGUGCAAGAAUUGAGAUGUGUUUUUCAUAAAGAAACUGACUCACGCAGCCAAUAUUUCUGAGCCCCUGGUACAGGCCAGGCAUAUUCUAGCUACAGGGGAUUCAGCAGUGAAUUAAACAGACGAAAUUCUCUGCCCUCCAGAGAUUGUCAAUCUCAGUAAGAGCUGCCAGCCUCAAGAUGCUGAGGAGAGACAAACGCUCCGCCACAUCUUUCAGUGGUGCUUUUAUUGGCGGCAGGAGGUGAGACAAGACCCUUUGUUCAUCCAAUUCUUGCAGAAAUGAGGAUACCUAGGGUAACGGAGCAAUUGUAAUUAGGCCAGGAACUGUGCACACUCGGAGCUCCAGGCACAAGAAUGCGCUUUACCUAAGCUUUCGGUCAAACCCGAGGGGAGGGAUGGGGGGCACGCAGGAGCAGCCCCCCCAGUAGGUGCUCAGAGGGGGUCAAGGCGGCCCCUCUCAUGGGCCAUUCAAUCAGGUGAGAUUCAGGUGAGUCUCCCAUACGAGGCAGGAAGAUGAAAACCAGGCGUCCAGUGGUCAGCUGUCAGAGCUCCCAAACCUGGGCUGCCACAUUGUCCUCAUGCAGAUGGGCGACGUGGGGAGGCCGGAGCUUCCGUACUUUCCACAGAGGAUCUAUUAUCUGGGGGAAACCAGGAGCCAGGCCCAGGUGGGUCCUCACUCCCAGCUCUCUCCACCAAUACCUGCUGCCAGGACCCCAGAGGAGCAAUGGCCUUGCAGGAAGUGAAAAGAAACGCCGGCUCUGCUCUUCUUGUUUCGGGUCAUCCCCACGGCUACCCCUUAGCACUAGCUGUGCUGGUAAAGAGUCCAAGCUUUGGAUCCAAGCCACGUGUGUCAAUUCCAGCUCGGCCACUCGCAGUGUGCGACCCGGGCAAGCUGUGCCCCUGCACUGAGGAUCCUCUGCCGAGUGGCCCUGACACUAUGAAGCAGACCAUGAGGCAGAGAGAAGGCGCUCAGAAAGGGGCGCCACAUCAGUCCCCAGGGCUCCCGCUGGGCCACCAGCAGAGCCGCGCUGCUGAAGGUUGAACUGUCGGCUAAAUGCAUCUGACCGAGGUGACCUGGCCAAGGUGACCUGGCCUCGUGGGCGAGGAGGUGACCUGGCCUGUGACAAGCAGUAACUGAGCAGAUGUUGUCCCCUCUGCCAUGUUGCCCCCCUCGAGAUGCACACCAAACCCUUAGAUGUCACUUCUGGCCGAGGCCUUCUCACGGCAGGCGGUUCUGUGACUGAGGGCGUCCUUGCCUCCCGAGAGAAGGCCACGCCCCAAUGGGGCAGGAAAAUGUUGACGCUAGUCCCCAUUUGUGGCGUCUGGGCCUGAGUGCAAACUCUGACCUUGCCCUGACUAGCUGGGUGACCUGCACGUGUCUCUCAGCCUCUCUCAGCUUUCCUGGCCUCCCUCCCGUCUGGAGGAGACUUGAUACCUGAUCAGCAGGUCUUGGCAGAAAACGCGGACCGCUCAAAGUUGUGGGUGCGGAGAGCGGAACAAAGGUGCCGGCGGGGCGGAGGGAACAAAGGCGGGGAGGGCACUCUGGGACCAGCUGGGGUGUCACCCUUGCCAUGCUCAGGCCUGAAGGGCCCAGGGGGGCACUGCUGCUCUGGGGGCAGGGAUGGCUGUGGCCUGGAAGGGCUGCCUGACUCCAGCUCAAAGAGCACAGCCCCUGCAACACCACAGCCCAGCCAGGAGACGGGGCGGGGAGCACGGCCCAAGCUUCUGUCCUCCCACGCAGACCUCCUGCUGGAGCCACCUGUGGCCAAACCCAGCCAGAGGCUGGAGGGCCAGGGAGCCAGGAUACAUCGGCGUGUUGAGCCUCUCGGGGGCAGAGCAGGCCAGAGAGCAGAUCUGGGGACAAACGGAGACUAACGGGCUGUGGUAUGGCCCCCAGCGAUGCCCACACCCUCAUCUCCAGAUCCUGUGAACAGGUGACCUUCGUGGCAAAUGGGACUUGGCACACGUGAUUAAGUUAAGGAUCUUGAGAUGGGGAGACAAUCCUGGAUCUCCACGUGAGCCCAACAUAUUCACAAUGGUGCUUAGAAAAAGGAGGCCGGAGGGUCACAAACAUGCAGAGGGGAUGUGACGAUGGAACUAGAGGGGCACGCAGAGAGGCUGGAAGACGUCACACUGCUGGCUUUGAAGAUGGAGGAUGGGGCCACAAGCCAAGGGAAGCAAGCGGCCGCUAGAAGCUGGAAAAGGUGAGGAAGCUGAUUCUCGCCUACAGCCUCCAGAAAGAACACAGCCCUGCAGUCCCAUUUCAGGACUUCCGGCCUUCAGAACUGUAACAGGAUAAAUUGGUGCUGUUUUAGCCUAUCCAGGUCGUGGUAACUUGCUACCACAGCAACAGGAAACUAACGCACCUGCAUAAUACCUGUGGGGUCCCUCUGCCCACCCAGCUUCUGCUCCCCUCCGACAUCACUCUCUGGCUCUGGAUCCAUGUCAAGUCCAGCUGGACGGAGGUCAGAAAGGUGGUUCAUACGUGGAAGCGAAUGCCCUGGUAAGCCAGUCGUGAUGCUCAGACAGAGGGAGCAGGCCCGAGGGGGCUGGGAAGCCACAUAAGCCCCUCUCACAUGAACCCCUCUGGCUGCUCCCAAACAUGGGCUACAGACAUGCUCUGGGCUGCUCCCUAACAGAACUUUCAUACUUUCUCCUUUCCUUUCGUUUUAAUACAUCAUACCCACAUACGGACUGUCUGGUGAAGGAUACAGCACCAUGCAGCACAAAAAGCCCCAGCCCCGAAGUCUGGAAACCUGGAUGCGAGUACUGGGUCUACUCCAGCUUUGAAGUGGGGUCUAGAAAGUCACUGCCCUUCUCUGAGCUUCAGUUUCCCCAUCUGUACAAGGGGACAGGACUGAAGUCCUAGUCUACUGGUAUUCCGAUUCCACAAUUCUCAACACCUCCUUCCCUGUCGCCAGCCAGCCGGAGCCUGUAGGAGCAGGGUGGUCAGGGCUCCUGGAGCACCGCCACAUCCGGAACACAGAGCUUUCUCUGGGAGGUCCAGCCAAACCCCCCUCCUGGACCACAAUCUGCUUGUUCUCUGCUGCCCCCUGCUGGCCAAUCAAAAACAAAGGCUUCCAGCAGGAUCCCUUGGAAAUGGUUGAAAGGGACCAGCAGAAGAUGCCCCCUGCAAACUCCUGCAUUCCCCUGCCCAGACCUGGCCAACCGGGACCUCCCUGGAGCUGCUGUCAGGGCUCAGAGGAAGCCAGCGCAGAGACCAGAGGCCUGGAAGGGGAGGCUGCCUGCUGUGGGCCCUGGGGCAGCUCUCCCCAUCCCUGCAUCCCACCUCUUCCGAACUGGUGAGAUGGGGUAUGAGAUGCUGUGGUUUCUGAAAAGUGGUCUGUUGUCCCAUUCUCUGCCUUUGGGUGAUAGUAACAACAGGAUGAGGUGUCCCUGCUCUCUCUCUCUCAAAUUCACACAAGAGAAGCACACACAUAAGAAGCAUGCUGACAAGGCAAAAAUUAACAGGGAGAAGUCCACCGAGACAGCCCCAGGAGGGCUGCCUCCAGAAAGAGAAGAGAGACUGCAGCACUGUGAUGCUGAGGCUGCUUAAACCUGAGGGGUCAACCUACAGACAAAGCACCGAAGACUUAAUUUUGGCUACAAGCAGAACAAGGUGGGGUGAUGGAAAAGCAAAGAUACAUCAGACCGCGAGGUGGGAGGAAGUGGGAGGUGGAGGGAGGGGUCCCAGCGCUGUCACCAUCGUCCUCCGCGGAGGAGUCGCUGAACCGACGAACGUCAAUGGAAUAGAGACUUCUAGACAAAGUGUGCAAAGUUACAAAAAUAACCAAGCCAAGAACCAAAAAUAUAAGUAGCCAAAAUUGGGAGCAGGAGACGGAAGGGAAGAGGAAGCAUCAAAGCGUUAAAUAAACCUCCGUUUCCCUUGACACGGGGCAAAAACGACGCGUGCAGAAAUCGUGAUUUAAACGUAUCAUUUGGAGAGAGAGAAAGAAAACUACCAAAAGAGUGAAAAACAGAGUCAGUUAAAACUGCUAGCUCUGGGGUGAGGAAUGGACAAAGAAGGGCAGGAAAUUUUGCUGUUAUUCACAAGCUCUUCUGUGCCCUUUGGGGUUUUUUUCACCACGGGCCCGUAUUUUUUUGAUUUAAAACUAUUUUAAAUUUUAAAAAGUGACACCCAAAUCCUGGCCAACUGAACCGGAAAUGGCCAGGCCAUCCAUCUGCUGGGGCCCAGUGCCUGCUGUCCGGUGGAUGCAGAGGGGCGGCCCUCCAGCAGCCUCAGCUCCCUGUGCACGGCCUUCCGCAUGGACGGCUCCAGCUCCAGCACUUUCUCCAGGUCCGCCUUGGCCUCCGCCUCGUUCCACACCUCCGCGUGAGCCCGGGCCCGCAGAGGCUCCCCAAGUUGUGGAAGCUUUGGGGACUCUCCCAGCACCUGUCGCAUACGGUGAUUGUGAGGAUUAAAUGAGACGACAGAUGGGGAGAAUUUAGCGCCCGCUGCAUCGUGUUUGAUGUUGUGAAUCCUGUUCAAACACCGUCUCCACAAACAUUGCCACAUCCACGCAUCACAGAUACUAGUAUGCGUUGAUACUACUCUCUGUAUCGAUUGCCUGCCUUUUUUAACAAAAAUCUAUUUACUCUCCACGCAAUGACAGGUUGGGGAGCUGCUGAUAGAGUCGUCCUAAGAGGCAUUAAACUAGC
This is a long non-coding RNA of Equus caballus (horse), 8269 nucleotides long. The record is from Ensembl. Lineage: Eukaryota; Metazoa; Chordata; Mammalia; Perissodactyla; Equidae.